Molecule: transfer RNA, 74 nt
Filed under: Candidatus Doudnabacteria bacterium RIFCSPHIGHO2_02_FULL_43_13b
Lineage: Bacteria; Candidatus Doudnaibacteriota
Also listed under: 1 other name
Description: tRNA-Ala
Rfam family: tRNA
About the family: Transfer RNA (tRNA) molecules are approximately 80 nucleotides in length. Their secondary structure includes four short double-helical elements and three loops (D, anti-codon, and T loops).
Source: RNAcentral
GGGCUUAUGGUCUAGUGGUAUGACGCCACAUUCGCAUUGUGGAAGCGCCAGUUCGAUUCUGGCUAAGUCCACCA